RNAcentral lists this transfer RNA (71 nucleotides) under Goniurosaurus orientalis. RNAcentral's name for it is "tRNA-Ile". The record is from RNAcentral. Lineage: Eukaryota; Metazoa; Chordata; Lepidosauria; Squamata; Eublepharidae.
GGAAGCGUGCCCGAUAAAUUAGGGACUACUUUGAUAGAGUACUAUAAAGAGGUUAAAAUCCUCUCUCUUCC